AUUGAACGCUGGCGGCAGGCCUAACACAUGCAAGUCGAGCGGAUGAAGGGAGCUUGCUCCUGGAUUCAGCGGCGGACGGGUGAGUAAUGCCUAGGAAUCUGCCUGGUAGUGGGGGAUAACGUCCGGAAACGGGCGCUAAUACCGCAUACGUCCUGAGGGAGAAAGUGGGGGAUCUUCGGACCUCACGCUAUCAGAUGGGCCUAGGUCGGAUUAGCUAGUUGGUGGGGUAAAGGCCUACCAAGGCGACGAUCCGUAACUGGUCUGAGAGGAUGAUCAGUCACACUGGAACUGAGACACGGUCCAGACUCCUACGGGAGGCAGCAGUGGGGAAUAUUGGACAAUGGGCGAAAGCCUGAUCCAGCCAUGCCGCGUGUGUGAAGAAGGUCUUCGGAUUGUAAAGCACUUUAAGUUGGGAGGAAGGGCAGUAAGUUAAUACCUUGCUGUUUUGACGGUACCAACAGAAUAAGCACCGGCUAACUUCGUG
RNAcentral lists this ribosomal RNA (484 nucleotides) under uncultured bacterium. RNAcentral describes it as "partial 16S ribosomal RNA". It matches the Rfam family "Bacterial small subunit ribosomal RNA", at positions 30 to 507 of the family's 1533-position model. The record is from RNAcentral.